Long non-coding RNA from Aedes aegypti (yellow fever mosquito), 381 nucleotides. RefSeq lists it as uncharacterized. The transcript has 3 exons. NCBI's taxonomy places the organism in Eukaryota, Metazoa, Arthropoda, Insecta, Diptera, Culicidae. The record is from RefSeq and is a predicted model, not a curated record.
UGUUUUUCUCCGUCAGCUUGCGAAGGAUUAACGUCAGCGCGGUCAUAGAAAGACUUAUUUUUUGUGUUUUGGACAUAAUAAAUCCAAUGUAUUCAUAGUGACUACUCAACCCAUGCUGCUAUUAAUUCAGAGUUGAUCACAUCGUGCAAUUUCCAGACCCAAAUAAGUGAUCCAAAAUAUAAAGACUAGUUCAUUAUACUUUUAUUGAAAAUUUGAGCGAUGAGGAGUAGAUGCUGCAUGUGCCGCCAUGUUCCAAUCAGAGAUCGAUGAAGGCAAAUACGGGCAUAACAUUCUCUACAGGAUACCACUACAAGCGCCGCUUAUGAAAUCCAAAAUUAAAGUUUGUUUAUGGACUAAACAAUUAUAAUAUAACAAUUAUAA